This 179-nucleotide ribosomal RNA is filed under the name uncultured bacterium. RNAcentral describes it as "partial 16S ribosomal RNA". It matches the Rfam family "Bacterial small subunit ribosomal RNA", at positions 1322 to 1500 of the family's 1533-position model. The record is from RNAcentral.
GAAGCCGGAAUCGCUAGUAAUCGCGGAUCAGAAUGCCGCGGUGAAUACGUUCCCGGGUCUUGUACACACCGCCCGUCACACCAUGGGAGUCGGAAAUGCCCGAAGUCUGUGACCCAACCUACGGGAGGGAGCAGCCGAAGGCAGGUCGGAUGACUGGGGUGAAGUCGUAACAAGGUACC